UGGGGAAUUUUGGACAAUGGGCGAAAGCCUGAUCCAGCAAUGCCGCGUGUGUGAAGAAGGCCUUCGGGUUGUGAAGCACUUUUGUCCGGAAAGAAAUCCUUGGCUCUAAUACAGUCGGGGGAUGACGGUACCGGAAGAAUAAGCACCGGCUAACUACGUGCCAGCAGCCGCGGUAAUACGUAGGGUGCAAGCGUUAAUCGGAAUUACUGGGCGUAAAGCGUGCGCAGGCGGUUUGCUAAGACCGAUGUGAAAUCCCCGGGCUCAACCUGGGAACUGCAUUGGUGACUGGCAGGCUAGAGUAUGGCAGAGGGGGGUAGAAUUCCACGUGUAGCAGUGAAAUGCGUAGAGAUGUGGAGGAAUACCGAUGGCGAAGGCAGCCCCCUGGGCAAUACUGACGCUCAUGCACGAAAGCGUGGGGAGCAAACAGGAUUAGAUACCCUGGUAGUCCACGCCCUAAACGAUGUCAACUAGUUGUUGGGGAUUCAUUUCCUUAGUAACGUAGCUAACGCGUGAAGUUGACCGCCUGGGGAGUACGGUCGCAAGAUUAAAACUCAAAUGAAUUGACGGGGUCAUAGCUGUUUCCU
Molecule: ribosomal RNA, 584 nt
Filed under: uncultured bacterium
Lineage: Bacteria
Description: partial 16S ribosomal RNA
Rfam family: Bacterial small subunit ribosomal RNA
Source: RNAcentral